UACGAAGGGUGCAAACGUUGCUCGGAAUCACUGGGCGUAAAGCGCACGUAGGCGGAUCUUUAAGUCAGGGGUGAAAUCCUGGAGCUCAACUCCAGAACUGCCUUUGAUACUGAGGAUCUUGAGUCCGGGAGAGGUGAGUGGAACUCCGAGUGUAGAGGUGAAAUUCGUAGAUAUUCGGAAGAACACCAGUGGCGAAGGCGGCUCACUGGCCCGGUACUGACGCUGAGGUGCGAAAGCGUGGGGAGCAAACAGGG
RNAcentral lists this ribosomal RNA (254 nucleotides) under uncultured bacterium. RNAcentral's name for it is "partial 16S ribosomal RNA". It matches the Rfam family "Bacterial small subunit ribosomal RNA", at positions 524 to 777 of the family's 1533-position model. The record is from RNAcentral.